Molecule: ribosomal RNA, 590 nt
Filed under: uncultured bacterium
Lineage: Bacteria
Description: partial 16S ribosomal RNA
Rfam family: Bacterial small subunit ribosomal RNA
Source: RNAcentral
UGGGGAAUCUUCCGCAAUGGACGAAAGUCUGACGGAGCAACGCCGCGUGAGUGAAGAAGGUUUUCGGAUCGUAAAACUCUGUCUUUUGGGGCGAACGUGAGUAUGGUGAACAAUCAUAGUCAGUGACGGUACCAAAGGAGGAAGCCACGGCUAACUACGUGCCAGCAGCCGCGGUAAUACGUAGGUGGCAAGCGUUGUCCGGAAUUAUUGGGCGUAAAGAGCGCGUAGGCGGGAUAGUCAGUCUGUUGUAAAAGUGCGGGGCUCAACCCCGUGAUGGCAAUGGAAACAGCUAUUCUUGAGUGCAGGAGAGGAAAGUGGAAUUCCCAGUGUAGCGGUGAAAUGCGUAGAUAUUGGGAGGAACACCAGUGGCGAAGGCGACUUUCUGGACUGUGUCUGACGCUGAGGCGCGAAAGCCAGGGGAGCGAACGGGAUUAGAUACCCCGGUAGUCCUGGCCGUAACGAUGGGUACUAGGUGUGGGAGGUAUCGACCCCCUUCCGUGCCGGAGUUAACGCAAUAAGUACCCCGCCUGGGGAGUACGGUCGCAAGACUGAAACUUAAAGGAAUUGACGGGGGUCAUAGCUGUUUCCUG